UCUGAUGAAGUUUUGGUGGGGGGGUUUUGGCGGGGGGAGGGAGGCUUCCCCCCCCCCGCAUUGCAAAAGAGGCUGGAAUUUCUUAGCUCCUUCGCAAUCCCCCUCCUCACCAUUCCCAUCCUCAAGGAGGUUGGAAUAUUUGCACUUCUUCCUACCCCCCCCCCUAAAAUAUAUAUGCUUGGUUUGCAAGCAGACCGAAGGAAGAGGCGCGCCCGUGAAAGCGACCAAGUGGCGCUGUUCUGAGUCGGUUGUUUCCUGCUGGUGCUUAAGAGAGAGAAUAGUUCUCGUUCCUGAGUUGCUGCGUGUCCUCUGAGCCUUCCCUGCUAAUAGGUGACGAGAGCAAAAUAGCCAGCGACUCUCUCGACUGCAAAGCUCUCUCCAAGAUUUGGCUGGAUGGCGUGUCCUUUCCAGACUUGUGUUUCUCACAGGAAUUGGUUCUCGAAUUUUAGCUGGAGAUGGGAGUAAGGAAUCGAAGAGGUCUUCGCCAUCGCCGUCCCCAUCGGAAGCGGACAUCCCAGCUUGCAUUGCGGCAGGCGUGGAGUGACUUUUCUUGCCCAAGGGAAGCAUCCCCUUGGAGGAAAUUUGGGGGGGACCACAUGUUAGCGAUUGGCAGGACCAGGGCCAAGACUGGGCGAAGCAAUGGGUGCGGAUCUCACCUGAGUUCCGGCUGAAAAAAUGCCCUGCAAAACACAUAAUAAAAAUAAUCAUAGAGAGUUGGAAGGGACCCUGAUGGUUAUCUAGUCCAACCCCCUGCAAGGCAAGAAUAUGCAACCUGCAAGCUGCGUGUUAUUCACACAAUGCAUUAACCAGCUGAGCGAUCCUGAAUGAAAACAUAAUAAAAACAA
Molecule: long non-coding RNA, 845 nt
Organism: Podarcis raffonei (Aeolian wall lizard)
Lineage: Eukaryota; Metazoa; Chordata; Lepidosauria; Squamata; Lacertidae
Exons: 3
Source: RefSeq, a predicted model, not a curated record